This 1302-nucleotide ribosomal RNA is filed under the name metagenome. Its description in RNAcentral is "bacterial SSU rRNA". It matches the Rfam family "Bacterial small subunit ribosomal RNA", at positions 159 to 1455 of the family's 1533-position model. The record is from RNAcentral.
UGCGCUAAUACCGCAUAUUCUGUGAGCAGGAAAGCAGGGGACCGCAAGGCCUUGCGCUCUUUGAGCGGCCGAUGUCAGAUUAGCUAGUUGGUGAGGUAACGGCUUACCAAGGCGACGAUCUGUAGCGGGUCUGAGAGGAUGAUCCGCCACACUGGAACUGAGACACGGUCCAGACUCCUACGGGAGGCAGCAGUGGGGAAUUUUGGACAAUGGGGGCAACCCUGAUCCAGCCAUGCCGCGUGAGUGAAGAAGGCCUUCGGGUUGUAAAGCUCUUUCGGCCGGGAAGAAAUCGCAUGGGCCAAUACCCUGUGUGGAUGACGGCACCGGAAUAAGAAGCACCGGCUAACUACGUGCCAGCAGCCGCGGUAAUACGUAGGGUGCGAGCGUUAAUCGGAAUUACUGGGCGUAAAGCGUGCGCAGGCGGUUUUGUAAGACAGGCGUGAAAUCCCCGGGCUCAACCUGGGAACUGCGUUUGUGACUGCAAGGCUAGAGUACGGCAGAGGGGGGUGGAAUUCCACGUGUAGCAGUGAAAUGCGUAGAGAUGUGGAGGAACACCAAUGGCGAAGGCAGCCCCCUGGGUCGAUACUGACGCUCAUGCACGAAAGCGUGGGUAGCAAACAGGAUUAGAUACCCUGGUAGUCCACGCCCUAAACUAUGUCAACUAGGUGUUGGGUGGGUAAAACCAUUUAGUACCGUAGCUAACGCGUGAAGUUGACCGCCUGGGGAGUACGGCCGCAAGGUUAAAACUCAAAGGAAUUGACGGGGACCCGCACAAGCGGUGGAUGAUGUGGAUUAAUUCGAUGCAACGCGAAAAACCUUACCUACCCUUGACAUGCCAGGAACUUGCCAGAGAUGGCUUGGUGCCCGAAAGGGAGCCUGGACACAGGUGCUGCAUGGCUGUCGUCAGCUCGUGUCGUGAGAUGUUGGGUUAAGUCCCGCAACGAGCGCAACCCUUGUCGUUAAUUGCCAUCAUUUAGUUGGGCACUUUAGCGAGACUGCCGGUGACAAACCGGAGGAAGGUGGGGAUGACGUCAAGUCCUCAUGGCCCUUAUGGGUAGGGCUUCACACGUCAUACAAUGGUCGGUACAGAGGGUCGCCAAGCCGCGAGGUGGAGCCAAUCCCAGAAAGCCGAUCGUAGUCCGGAUUGCAGGCUGCAACUCGCCUGCAUGAAGUCGGAAUCGCUAGUAAUCGUGGAUCAGCAUGUCACGGUGAAUACGUUCCCGGGUCUUGUACACACCGCCCGUCACACCAUGGGAGCGGGUUCCGCCAGAAGUAGGUAGCCUAACCGCAAGGAGGGCGCUU